UACGGAGGGUGCAAGCGUUGUCCGGAAUUAUUGGGCGUAAAGAGCUCGUAGGCGGUCUGUCGCGUCGGCUGUGAAAUCCCGAGGCUCAACCUCGGGUCUGCAGUCGAUACGGGCAAACUAGAGUAUUGCAGGGGAGACUGGAAUUCCUGGUGUAGCGGUGAAAUGCGCAGAUAUCAGGAGGAACACCGGUGGCGAAGGCGGGUCUCUGGGCAAUAACUGACGCUGAGGAGCGAAAGCGUGGGGAGCGAACAGG
RNAcentral lists this ribosomal RNA (253 nucleotides) under uncultured bacterium. RNAcentral describes it as "partial 16S ribosomal RNA". It matches the Rfam family "Bacterial small subunit ribosomal RNA", at positions 524 to 776 of the family's 1533-position model. The record is from RNAcentral.